GUGAAUCAUCGAAUCUUUGAACGCAAAUUGCACUCUCUGGUAUUCCGGGGAGUAUGCCUGUUCGAGGGUCGUUAGAAUACUAAAUCGUUGCGUCGUUCUUUUUUUUAAGGGUUCUCGCGUCGGAAUUGAUCCGUCUUUCAAAUGUUAUUUCAUGUCAAACUGGCUUGAAAUUCAUCCAUCCGGUACGAUUUAAGCGUAUUUAAGAUCAAUGUAGC
RNAcentral lists this unclassified non-coding RNA (215 nucleotides) under Funneliformis mosseae. RNAcentral describes it as "partial contains 5.8S ribosomal RNA and internal transcribed spacer 2". The stretch from base 1 to 71 matches the Rfam family "5.8S ribosomal RNA", at positions 84 to 154 of the family's 154-position model. Lineage: Eukaryota; Fungi; Glomeromycota; Glomeromycetes; Glomerales; Glomeraceae. The record is from RNAcentral.